Long non-coding RNA from Momordica charantia (bitter melon), 739 nucleotides. RefSeq lists it as uncharacterized. Lineage: Eukaryota; Viridiplantae; Streptophyta; Magnoliopsida; Cucurbitales; Cucurbitaceae. The record is from RefSeq and is a predicted model, not a curated record.
CGAGAUUUUGAGAGUUACAAUUUUUUCUUUCUUCCUCUUCAUCUUCUUCUUUUUUAUCUCAACUUGGUGCAUGUGAUUUGAACGUCGGAUUUCUGAAACUCAUCUAAAAUUUGAAUCUCACAAUCAAAGGAUAUGGAGAUGGUACCAGUUAUAUCGUUAAAGUGCGAGGUUAUUUUGGUUAGGCUGAGUCUACCACUUAUACCAUGGCGCAUCUCAGCACCACACCAGGAGGAAGAUGGAGAUUGUGCUCCGACAAGCAGGAGAGGGACGAAGAAACUCGAUCGGCUACGUUAGACGAGCAAGAGCCAGGGACGUACUUGACGAGCAGACGAGGGACAAGUGGUAGAAGCCGACAAAGAGUAGUGAUAGUAACGGUUCAAUGAAGUCAAGUCUAUUAGGGACUCCCUGACGAUCCCGAACCUUCCAAAAGUGAUGGGUAUGUUUUAUGAUAUGUUGUCUUUGCCACUGCGUUUAUAAUGGGCGUAUAGACCAGCUGAGGCCCAAACUCUCAAUCUCUAGGCCCAUUCGUCGAUGCCUAAGAUACAACCUUGGGCCGAUCUAGCUAACCUGGGCAUGGUAUAGAUGGGCUUUAGCCUUUUUUUCUUUUUUGUAGAAAGAACUUUUCGCCCUUUUCCAAUUUUUGUUACUUGUAAUAUAUUUUAAUUUGAUUAUUUUCUAUGUGACAUUUUAAUUUCAUUAUUAACAGUUAAUUUAAAUUAUGAUGAAUAAUUUUUAUAAA